GGAUGCGAUGAUACCAGCACUAAAGCACCGGAUCCCAUCAAAACUCCGAAGUUAAGCGUGCUUGGGCGAGAGUAGUACAAGGAUUGGUGACCUCCUGGGAAGUCCUCGUGUUGCAUUCC
RNAcentral lists this ribosomal RNA (119 nucleotides) under Triticum aestivum (bread wheat). Lineage: Eukaryota; Viridiplantae; Streptophyta; Magnoliopsida; Poales; Poaceae. The record is from RNAcentral.